Molecule: long non-coding RNA, 1530 nt
Organism: Ostrea edulis (European flat oyster)
Lineage: Eukaryota; Metazoa; Mollusca; Bivalvia; Ostreida; Ostreidae
Exons: 2
Source: RefSeq, a predicted model, not a curated record
AUGCAAUUCGGCUCCAUUUCAAUAUCGAGGAAAACGUUCAAAACGCACUCGUUGACUGAGCCCCAUAUAACGCAGUUCAAUUUCAUUGAUAUUUACCAGAUCAGAAGUCGCCACUUGCUCCGUCAUGUUAUCGAUCUCGUAAAGCAGACGAUUCAUACCGGGAACUCGUGUAAUUUGUCUACUUCUACCAGUAAGUGGUCUACGUCAUCAAAUUGACUAUUCUGCCACGUCAUCGCCUAUGUAUGUUGUUUCUUUAAAUUAAUUUGUAUUUUAUUCAUAUCUUUAGUUGUGCUAAUUUUUUAUAGCAAUGAAAAACAAAAAUCAAACAAAUGCAUUUCGUUAUAUAUAAUGCUUCUGUGGAAAAUCCCGUUCUAUAAAUAGCGCUAAAAUUAGAACAGGGAAGACGCACUCCAGAGAAAAGUAGUCCCGCGUGCUUAGUGCAGAUGAACUCCGAACGAAAUUUUGACAGAGAAAUCAAACGAAUUUUUCAACCAAUCAGCAUCGUUUAUAAGUCAUCACUUUAAAAGUUAUUAAAUGAUUUCUUUUUUAUCGGCUGCAUCGCUUGCAAUUUACGAUGAAAAGUUUUAUAUAUAACAUUAUAUAUUAUUAUUACCCUAAAUUUAGUAGAUAGACGUUAGUGGUUAUGUCAGAUGCGGGAGAAAAAAAACAUGUUCAUAGAUCCACCACUUACUCUUUAGUAUGGUGACGUCAGAUUUUGUAUGAUGACGUCAAACAAAGACCGAUGAGAUAAUUUGACCCCUACCGUUUAGAAGCAACUCUAUCAAGGUCUCAUCUUUCGCAUCGUUACGGUGAACUGGGAAUAAAGUUCAUUUAUCGGCUAUAAUCAACCAUCAAACAUCGCCUACUGCUUCUCAAAUGUGAAAAAUCGGUAAAGAUGGCGGCGUGACAUACUUUGUGAAUAUUUUAUUUAUAUGAGGACAAUUUUUUUUAUCAUAGAUAUUUAAAACAUCGACUGCCUAUGACUAUGAUAAUGAUUUGGCAAUCAUUGGUUUCACUUUAUCAAUAUUAUACAUUUUAUCAUUUUGCACUGUGCAAUUUAAGUCGGGUUCACUAUAUAUUGUGCCGUUACCUAUUUUCGAUAGUAUCCUAAUUUCGAUAGGUUAUUAUUUUUAACGAUCAUUCGAUAAUUGUAAUGUCAUUUUUCGGAAUGUUUUUCCCAAAAUCAGCGUCAGUAACAAGAAGAGUCAGAUAGCCAAAAAGAUCGAGAAUUACGCUUUUCAAAGAGAUAUUUUCCAUCCAGAGAGGAAAUUAUAAGAAUGAUGAUCCAGAGGCCUUGGGCAAUGCUUUCCAGUCGAUAAAAUAUGGAAUGAGUGUCCAUGCUGAAUUGUUACUGCCAAAUGUUUCCAAGUCCCCUAGACAACUUUAAAAUAUGAUAAAUGGGCGUAAUAACAUUGGGUGUGUGUCUUCAGGACCUUCACCACUAUUUAAAAUUGUUUGAAGUUGCUUUAUUUGUUCAUUAUUUAAUGUAAUCAAUUUGGUCGAAAAAAUAAGAAUAAAAGAAUCAUUCUA